CCUGGCUCAGGACGAACGCUGGCUGCGUGCUUAACACAUGCAAGUCGAACGCUGAAGCCUGGUGCUUGCACCGGGUGGAUGAGUGGCGAACGGGUGAGUAACACGUGAGUAACCUGCCCCUGACUUCGGGAUAAGCCCGGGAAACUGGGUCUAAUACCGGAUACGACUGCCGGACGCAUGUCUGGUGGUGGAAAGUUUUUUCGGUUGGGGAUGGGCUCGCGGCCUAUCAGUUUGUUGGUGAGGUAAUGGCUCACCAAGACGACGACGGGUAGCCGGCCUGAGAGGGCGACCGGCCACACUGGGACUGAGACACGGCCCAGACUCCUACGGGAGGCAGCAGUGGGGAAUAUUGCACAAUGGGGGAAACCCUGAUGCAGCGACGCAGCGUGCGGGAUGACGGCCUUCGGGUUGUAAACCGCUUUCAGCAGGGAAGAAGCGCAAGUGACGGUACCUGCAGAAGAAGUACCGGCUAACUACGUGCCAGCAGCCGCGGUAAUACGUAGGGUACGAGCGUUGUCCGGAAUUAUUGGGCGUAAAGAGCUCGUAGGUGGUUGGUCACGUCUGCUGUGGAAACGCAACGCUUAACGUUGCGCGUGCAGUGGGUACGGGCUGACUAGAGUGCAGUAGGGGAGUCUGGAAUUCCUGGUGUAGCGGUGAAAUGCGCAGAUAUCAGGAGGAACACCGGUGGCGAAGGCGGGACUCUGGGCUGUAACUGACACUGAGGAGCGAAAGCAUGGGGAGCGAACAGGAUUAGAUACCCUGGUAGUCCAUGCCGUAAACGUUGGGCACUAGGUGUGGGGGGCAUUCCACGUUCUCCGCGCCGUAGCUAACGCAUUAAGUGCCCCGCCUGGGGAGUACGGUCGCAAGGCUAAAACUCAAAGGAAUUGACGGGGGCCCGCACAAGCGGCGGAGCAUGCGGAUUAAUUCGAUGCAACGCGAAGAACCUUACCAAGGCUUGACAUACACCGGACCGUCCUGGAAACAGGUCUUCUUCUUUGAAGCUGGUGUACAGGUGGUGCAUGGUUGUCGUCAGCUCGUGUCGUGAGAUGUUGGGUUAAGUCCCGCAACGAGCGCAACCCUCGUUCUAUGUUGCCAGCACGUGAUGGUGGGAACUCAUAGGAGACUGCCGGGGUCAACUCGGAGGAAGGUGGGGAUGACGUCAAAUCAUCAUGCCCUUUAUGUCUUGGGCUUCACGCAUGCUACAAUGGCUGGUACAGAGAGAGGCGAACCCGUGAGGGCAAGCGAAUCCCUUAAAGCCAGUCUCAGUUCGGAUCGUAGUCUGCAAUUCGACUACGU
RNAcentral lists this ribosomal RNA (1296 nucleotides) under Brevibacterium casei. RNAcentral describes it as "bacterial SSU rRNA". It matches the Rfam family "Bacterial small subunit ribosomal RNA", at positions 18 to 1321 of the family's 1533-position model. The record is from RNAcentral. Lineage: Bacteria; Bacillati; Actinomycetota; Actinomycetes; Micrococcales; Brevibacteriaceae.